Molecule: ribosomal RNA, 492 nt
Filed under: uncultured bacterium
Lineage: Bacteria
Description: partial 16S ribosomal RNA
Rfam family: Bacterial small subunit ribosomal RNA
Source: RNAcentral
AGUGAGCGCUGGCGGUAGGCCUAACACAUGCAAGUCGAACGGCAGCACAGUAAGAGCUUGCUCUUACGGGUGGCGAGUGGCGGACGGGUGAGGAAUACAUCGGAAUCUACUUUUUCGUGGGGGAUAACGUAGGGAAACUUGCGCUAAUACCGCAUACGACCUACGGGUGAAAGCAGGGGAUCUUCGGACCUUGCGCGAUUGAAUGAGCCGAUGUCGGAUUAGCUAGUUGGCGGGGUAAAGGCCCACCAAGGCGACGAUCCGUAGCUGGUCUGAGAGGAUGAUCAGCCACACUGGAACUGAGACACGGUCCAGACUCCUACGGGAGGCAGCAGUGGGGAAUAUUGGACAAUGGGCGCAAGCCUGAUCCAGCCAUACCGCGUGGGUGAAGAAGGCCUUCGGGUUGUAAAGCCCUUUUGUUGGGAAAGAAAAGCAGCAGGUUAAUACCCCGCUGUUCUGACGGUACCCAAAGAAUAAGCACCGGCUAACUUCGUG